AAGAGAAAUUGAGUGUGCAUCC
RNAcentral lists this non-coding RNA (22 nucleotides) under Arabidopsis thaliana (thale cress). The record is from RNAcentral. Lineage: Eukaryota; Viridiplantae; Streptophyta; Magnoliopsida; Brassicales; Brassicaceae.